RNAcentral lists this ribosomal RNA (180 nucleotides) under uncultured Glomeromycotina. Its description in RNAcentral is "partial small subunit ribosomal RNA". The stretch from base 86 to 180 matches the Rfam family "Eukaryotic small subunit ribosomal RNA", at positions 733 to 830 of the family's 1831-position model. The record is from RNAcentral. Lineage: Eukaryota; Fungi; Glomeromycota.
GACCUGGCUGAUCUGUCCUCCUAAUCGAGCGCACGGAUUCGGUCGGGUCUUUCCUUCUGGGGAGCCCUAUGCCCUUCACUGGGUGUAGUGGGGAACCAGGACUUUUACCUUGAAAAAAUUAGAGUGUUUAAAGCAGGCUUACGCUUGAAUACAUUAGCAUGGAAUAAUAGAAUAGGACUU